Molecule: RNA transcript, 6545 nt
Organism: Oreochromis niloticus (Nile tilapia)
Lineage: Eukaryota; Metazoa; Chordata; Actinopteri; Cichliformes; Cichlidae
Gene: spata17
Gene name: spermatogenesis associated 17
Exons: 12
Source: RefSeq, a predicted model, not a curated record
UCCUGUGAGUUUUGAACGCAUCUGCAGUACCUUGGGAAACACUUGUGUUGUCAAGACAACAAGUAAACUCUCGCUUGAGUACACCGACAUGGCGGAGCUGUUGAAAAUAAAACGUGAAUUUGAAGAGUUCCAAAAGGAAUACUGCUGUAGAAACAGAGAAGCUGAGGAGAACAGAGAGAAGGAGAACCAGGCCGCCACCCAGAUCCAGAGCUGGUUCAGAGGCUGUAAGGUGCGGGCUUAUCUCAGCCAUCUGCACAAGAAGGCAAUCAUUAUACAGAAGAUAUGGCGGGGCUUCACAGCAAGGGCACAUGUCAGACAAAUGGUGAAGGCGGCAUAUUUUAUCAUGAAGAUGAAUUUCUACGAGGAGAUGGCGGUCAGGAUCCAGCGGAGAUGGAGAGGAUUCUUUGUGAGGAAACAUAUCCAUAACUUCUAUGCACGAAAAAAGUAUAUGGAAGGACUUGUCAUGAAAAAUGAACUAGUCAGGAGGGAGCUUGAUCAGCUGGAAGAACUCCAGAAAAGGGAGAGAGACUGUCUGGAUAUGGUGAAAGAGCACACAGCCAAAGUCUAUCAAGCUCAACGGUUACAUCACCUCCUCAGUACAAAGCAGAGGGGGUCUCCAAUGAGAAGAAUGAGUUUACUGAAUCAGCAGAGCAGGUGCCCAGGGGUCUUCAACUCUCCAUUCAGGCCAGCUCCUCAUGAGAUGGAGCUGCUGCUGAGGCAGGUCAAGUACCAGGCCCCCACCAGGCUGGCCUCCAGGGGCAAGGCUUGUCUCUUGGGCAUCCCAAGCUCAACAAGCUCUAGUUUCCCUGCGACUCUUGGAUCCCCAUUGAUCAAAACCUCUAGAACUUACAGCUCCAGGCCCAUACUGCCUCCCAUUGGCAACAAGAAACAGCAGGGUCUUUCAAGAGAAGCAGGAGAGGCUUGGGAGCAGCGCUUGCAUUGUCGUGAAUUGAUGUUAUGUCUGCAGACCUCUUACAUGCACCUAGAGGAGACCCAGAAUCAGCUACGUCAACUUGAGCCAGUGAGACUUAGAGAAACAGGAAGUACACCUUACCAUCUGAGCCAUGGCAGCAAUUCAUUUCCUCAUCCAGCCCAUACUGGCAAGAGCUUCAGAUGAUUAAUAUACACUGGUUAUGAGAGGAGUUUUACCCAGUGGAUGAAGACAUUACCCAGGGAUUCAACUGCACAUAAAAAAUGCCCUUUGCAUCACAAGGAUUGCUACUACUAGACAGAAGUUUUUCAGUUUUUCAAUGAAGCAACUGGUCCAACUUAGAACUGAAUACUCAGUAAACCAAAGUGAUCGGGAAGCAGCGCGCAACAAUCUCUGAAUGUGUUCAUAUUCAAAUGUAUUGAAUUCACCAAAACCAAGAUUGGGCUGUACAAUAAUCGUAAUUUACAAUACAUCAUAAUCAUUAGUUAAAGACUUCAGGAUUUAGGGUUGAAAUAUGACUAUGAGGGGUGCCUAACAUUUUUAAAAUGUUCUUCUGUUAGUGCACUGGUUUUGUCUGUAAAAAUCCUUAUCUCAGUUAGAGUGAACCAAAGGUGAAGUUUUUUUGUUUGUUUGUUUGUUUUUAAAGAAGACCAUAUGCACAGAUUUUAAAAUUUUAGAGUCAAAUGCUCGAAUGGUAAUCAAAAUUGUUCCUUAUUAUCAUUUAUUGAUUAAUCACUUUAGUUCAUAACUUUUGUCAUUACCACAUACCACAUACCAAAGACCAUUAGUUUAUAAUUCUGUGAUAUAUUAAAUGCAGUGUUAUGCAAUAACCUUUCUCAUAAUUAUUGGCUUUAUUUAUUAUUACUUAGCAAAAAAGUUUUUUCUCCUACGUAUUUGUGCCGUUGUCUCUUAUGUGUCCAAAUAUAACAAGCAUUUAUGAUUCACUGCUACUGACACCAAUGUGCAGCCCGUCUCUAUGUCCCCUACCCCCUGCGUGCACCUCCACUGUGCCGGCGGUGAGAAUAUUGUUGGUAGCUGGUGACGAUCAGUCCAUCUCCAUACAUUAAUCACCACCAAUAGAAAGCCCUGACACAGCAGCUACAGCAGUACCACUGCCCUGCCUAACAAAGCAUAGAGCAAGGACACACAGUGCCAACAGUGGAAAGACAGAAAAGAAGAAGAGAGGGAAAGUGCCGUUUUGCUGGGUGGAGGAUACAGAGAGAGAUAGAGAGAGGGAGAGCUAAAUGGGAAAAUAUGGAAAUGUAGAAAGAAAACAGUCAUACUUUAUGUUUCCCGCUCUGUCCUAACCUCUGUCUUCUUCCCUUUCUUUCGCUGCGUCUCGUUUUCUCUUGUUCUCCUGGUUUUUAUUGUUAUUACCAUGGCAGCACCAUUAGAGAGCUCUACGUUCUUCUCCACUGGAGCAAUAAAUGAAGAGGGCCUCACUCCUUUUUCCUCCUCAUCCUUUCCUUUCUCAUCCCUUCUUCAGGUCCCCCCGCUCGCCUACUUUCUCACCUCCCACCACAUUCUUCUCCGGUUCUCUUUUCCUCACCUUUAUCCUGCUUUCUCAUAUCCAGACUUCUACUCAUUGUUUCUCCUUUUUGUGAAAUUUAACCAUUUUGGCCUCAUUUUUUAAUCAUCCCCUUGUAGUAUAUAAAUCUCAUGUUUGAGUUUUCAGUCCUUUUCCUGCCAUAUCUUCUGGUAAACCAUCACGAUCUAUGCAUAAUGCAAACCUGUUUACCAUCCCCCACUUUGCAAAUGACACACACACAGACGAUGCAGGCUAUAGUAAUAGUUAAAAGCUACUUUGCUCUCAGUACAGUUGAAACACUUUGGACAAUUAAUGUGGAGUCCCAACAGAGCAGAUACCAACUAACAUCACAUUUCUAUAGUAUCAUCAUGAUAUGUUCCUGUCAUUACAGUAACCAGCUUGAAAAUUGGAUGUUUCAAAGCGGAUUCAAACCACAGCAUGCUUGAUUUUAUUGCAAGGACUUUUUAAAAUCAAAAUGACAGCGAUAACUAUGUUUUUCAGUCUGUAAGUAAAGCAUUUCUAUUUUGAUGUAAACUAUACCAAACGUGCUAUAUUAUAGAAAAAUAUGAAACUACAAAGAUCCCAGCGUUAAAAGUAGGGCUAGAUGCAGGCGGUUGCAGGACUGAGAAAAGUUAAAAGAGAGGGUUACAGACAGAGAGGGAUACCAUGCUGUGAGACGAAAAUGCAAUGAUGGGCUCCAACACUAAAAGUGCCACAAUCAAUUCCCAGCCAACAACGCAAAAAGAUCCAUGAGGAGUGAGCUGCCCUAUCAGGUACACCACAUGGUAUGAGACGAGACAGAGACACAGCAUGUAGACGGAGAACAGAAAAGGGAGAAGGACAGAGAUGAAAGCUGAGUAAAAGGAUAUAUGGAGUUGUCUUCGGUAGGACAAGGUAGGAACACAUGUGGGAAGUAAGCAGGGAGCAGAUGCCAAGAACGUAUGACAGUGAGUGUUAAACAAGAAGAGAGUGAGGGUGGAGGGAGCAGUAGGUGGCUGUAAGGAAAGGUUAGAGAGAGGAGACUAUGAGAAGUGUAUAUUAAAAAAGAUAGAAGGACAAGGUUUUACUGAGAAGGCACUGCUUUGCAUUCACAGUGUUGUAUGCUUAAUCUGAUUCUGACCCUAAAGGAUCAUCACAGAUGCUGAUAUUGUUUUGCACAGAAUUUACUUUUUGUACAUUUUGUAGCUUCCUAAGCAUAAACAGUAUAAAAGAUGGACGUAACUACUGUGAUACAGCCCACUUUUUUCUUAAGUCUAAGAUGUGUCUUUCCGCCAUCAACAUCUUGGAUGCAAAAAAACAGGAUGUAAUAAGGAGUUGUGAAUCUGAGUGUGAAACGACCUGCUCAUUGGCUAAUGGCUUGUGAAUCACAAGUGGGGAAAAAAAGCACACAGCUAAUAAUCCUUUUUGAAACAUGGUAUUACCAAGACUGAAAAAAUCAAUUUAAAGUUUUAUUUAGUAUGAGCCAAAAUAAGUGACUAAGACAGUGAACUCAGCAGCAGUGUUGUUCACAGAGGUCAAGAAAGAAAACCUUUUUCCCAUAGACUUCUGUAGGACUGAAAAUCUUUUUGCGACCUCAGCUAUCGCCAUCUGGUGGCCUUCUAAUAGAAUGCAGGUUUUCAGGCACUUCUAUAUUGGCUUUGUUUUUCUGGGAAGUCACAUCUAUAUUUUAUACUCACAUUUUAUACAGCUUACUGAAGAGUUACAGUGUCCCAUCAGGGCUUGUGAUGCUUAAGGCUAGUUGAAACACCAAAUUAGUUUGAGUGCUUCCCCCACCUUCAACCCACUCAAGAAUUGUACUGAUAAUUUGGGGGAUUGUAACACUGUUGCAUUGACUAUGACAUACAAACACAAAGACAAUAACUUUUUCUACGCUUCUGCCUGAAAUUAUAUAGAAUGCAACCAAAGAGAAUAUUAGGGAGUUUGGGUUUUUUUCAUAUCUCUGAUAGGAUCCCUGUCAGAAAUGAUUUCUUCUUAUGGUGACUGCCGCUUUGAUUUUUGAUCCCUAAACAUUAAGACAAUGCACCACCAAAACAUUGUUUUAAAUAACUCACACUGAUAUGUCACAGCAACUGUUUAAAACUUUACAAAAGUACAAAGCCUGAAAAUCUGAAAGACCUUGAGUGGUGAUGGUAGGCUGUAGAGGUGAGAAAGAAAAUAAUAUGUGGAUAAUAUUGGAAAGUCUACAAAAAAAGUUUUUAAAGUCCCUCCAGUAAAAGUAACAGUUUGGCGAGACUGUGGAAAAUGUUCUGUAUGUGUUGGCAACUGCCUUAUGAAAAUACAUUAGCCUUGAAGACAAAAUCUAAAUAGCAGAAAGCAGUGGGGGCAAGAUUAACAAGUCUAUACCUGCUCUUGAAGACAACGACAAUGUGCUAACAUUUUACUGACACAUUGGGCAGACAAAUUGGAAGGAGGGAGAGAAAGAGUGAUGAUAUCAAGGUCAAGGUCAAUAAAUAAAUAGAAAAAGUCUGGAAGACCUAAAUUAAUCAGAUAUACAUUUCUAGCCUUGUCUCAGACUUCUGCAUGUUCUUGACACUGCAUCAGAGGUGGCAAGUACAAGUACUUUUCUACUGUACUUAAGUAGAAUUUUCAGGUAUUUAUACUUUACUUGAGUAUUUAUUUUUCUGAAAACUAUUUACUUUAACUUCCUACAUUUUAGCAUAUCUCUAUACUUUAUACCUUUUAAAUUUUAAAACAUGCUUGUUGCCUUAGGUUUAGUUAUUUCCCUUCACUGUACAACUUCCCAACAUUAAACUGAUUUGAAACCAAAUGGAGAGAAAAAUAUCACAUAAAAAUAAUUUUAUUAGUGUAUCCAGUAACAGUACAGACAGGACAGGAGAGAAAGAAGGGUGGUUAUUUUUAGGUAUUGCUCAGUGACAUUUGAUAAACUGAAAGCUUAUAAGUAUUGUUGGUUUUUAGUAAAUUUUGUAUUUAUACAUGAUGUGUUGCUGUACUUCUGUUUUUUCAUGUUUUGUAAAACAAAUCAUACAAAAAAAAUCCCUGAAAUAUACUUCUUUCUACUACUACUUUCUAUUCAAAGGUUGAAUGAAAAUACUGAGCAGUUAAGUGCAGGUUAAACAGGCUAGUCUGUUGUACUGUUGUGAUUUUACAGUAAAGCACUGUGUUGGACUGGUGCAGAGCAGCUGUGGUGUUCAUGGUCACUGUUAGGUUACAUUAAGGUUUGCAGACAGCAAAUUAAAUUUAAGGUGAUGAUACUGGUUAUAUCCACUCACUGAAUCCCUGCUAGCUUUAUACUGUAUAGUGGUUGGAAAAAGUUCCUUUUUACCCUUUUCUAUGCAUGUGUUCUGUACAACACAUGUUCAACCUGAGUUCAUUCUUUGUAUUAGAAUUUAGAUUGAAAUAAAGAUUUCAUUCACGUGCAUUAAUAAUAUUUUAUUAUGUUAAUAUGGCACAAGUUUCAGUUUCAUUUUGUGGGGAUUAUAUCAUUUUAAUAUCAUGUUUAUUCAUUCAUAUUCGUUCAUAUUCUUUUUAUUCGUGUAUAUCCUUUUAUUAAGCUUUGAGUAGUGAUUAAAACAUUUAUUCAAUAUAUUACACAUAUAGUUUCAUUUAUGUUGUUACACAUAUUACAAAAUGGGCUUACAGAAGAGCCUUCUGUCUGGUAAGAGGUUAUAAGUUUUAGUUGGAGAGGUGAGACAGAGUGCACUGAGGUCAAGACAUACAGUCUGCACACACAUACACACAGACACACACAAACACACACAUAGUCGGUAGACUCAUUUCUAGGUAAGAGUUCAGAUAUAUUUUGCUUGCAACUGCAUUUUGUGCCUGCAUAAGUGACGAGUUUGUUGUAGGACGGACUGCUGAUGUUCUGAGAUAAGUGGUCGUACGGCAGCUACAGGAAACACCUGGUUUUGGAGGCGAAGAAAAUGUUCUUUUUGAAUGUGUUAAAGGUUGUCAUUGCUGUAACUCAUGCAUGUUAUGUAUCUGCUUUGACGCAUGAGGGGGCGUUAUAAUACCCUGAUGUAUAAAACAUUCUGAGUAUGCUUUCUUGGGGGGGUUUUAUGCUGAGGAUUGUGACGGUGUAUUUCCUCCACACGUGUGUUUUAAUAAAAUCAUUGUUUUGACGCA